Molecule: ribosomal RNA, 468 nt
Filed under: uncultured bacterium
Lineage: Bacteria
Description: partial 16S ribosomal RNA
Rfam family: Bacterial small subunit ribosomal RNA
Source: RNAcentral
GACGAACGCUGGCGGCGUGCUUAACACAUGCAAGUCGAACGGAAAGGCCCUGCUUUUGUGGGGUGCUCGAGUGGCGAACGGGUGAGUAACACGUGAGUAACCUGCCCUUGACUUUGGGAUAACUUCAGGAAACUGGGGCUAAUACCGGAUAGGAGCUCCUGCUGCAUGGUGGGGGUUGGAAAGUUUCGGCGGUUGGGGGUGGACUCGCGGCUUAUCAGCUUGUUGGUGGGGUAGUGGCUUACCAAGGCUUUGACGGGUAGCCGGCCUGGGAGGGUGACCGGCCACAUUGGGACUGAGGUACGGCCCAGACUCCUACGGGAGGCAGCAGUGGGGAAUAUUGCACAAUGGGCGGAAGCCUGAUGCAGCAACGCCGCGUGCGGGAUGACGGCCUUCGGGUUGGAAACCGCUUUCGCCUGUGACGAAGCGUGAGUGACGGUAAUGGGUAAAGAAGCACCGGCUAACUACGUG